This 322-nucleotide unclassified non-coding RNA is filed under the name Hevea brasiliensis (rubber tree). The record is from RNAcentral. Lineage: Eukaryota; Viridiplantae; Streptophyta; Magnoliopsida; Malpighiales; Euphorbiaceae.
UGCUGCUGUGGCUCUCCUGUACCUACGCGUGGUAAGAACCAACGCGCUAAGCAUAAUGCUUAGUGGUGCAUAUAUUGAAAUAAAAAUAAACAAAUAACUAAAAUAAUUAUUCUACGUGUAUUCUUAUAGGAAAAUAUAAAAUUUUAUGAAUUUUCUAGGUCUUUUACAUGUUUAUAGAACUUUGGACAAAAUAAAUUAAUCGGAGUCUUUUUAUCAUGUAUCUUAUGUUUAAUUCAAUGAAGUUCACCUUAACAAUCUUCUCAUGUAUUUAUUUUAAUUAAAAAUUUCUACUCAUUUCUGUGCCCAAGUAACCUAUGACAGA